AUGGCGUCAGGAUGAACGCUAGCGUACAGGCUUAACACAUGCAAGUCGAGGGGCAUCAGGGAGAAAGCUUGCUUCUUGCUGGCGACCGGCGCACGGGUGAGUAACGCGUAUCCAACCUUCCCCCCAGUAGGGCAUAGCCCGGCGAAAGUCGGAUUAAUACCCUAUGUUUUCCAAUGAGGACAUCUGAGCUGGAACAAAGAUUUAUCGCUGGGGGAUGGGGAUGCGUCCGAUUAGGUUGUUGGCGGGGUAACGGCCACCAAGCCCGCGAUCGGUAGGGGUUCUGAGAGGAAGGUCCCCCACACUGGUACUGAGACACGGACCAGACUCCUACGGGAGGCAGCAGUGAGGAAUAUUGGUCAAUGGGCGUAAGCCUGAACCAGCCAAGUAGCGUGCAGGACGACGGCCCUAUGGGUUGUAAACUGCUUUUAUGCGGGGAUAAAGUGAGGUAUGUAUACCUUUUUGUAGGUACCGCAUGAAUAAGGACCGGCUAAUUCCGUGCCAGCAGCCGC
This 509-nucleotide ribosomal RNA is filed under the name uncultured bacterium. RNAcentral's name for it is "bacterial SSU rRNA". It matches the Rfam family "Bacterial small subunit ribosomal RNA", at positions 18 to 518 of the family's 1533-position model. The record is from RNAcentral.